RNAcentral lists this ribosomal RNA (253 nucleotides) under uncultured bacterium. RNAcentral's name for it is "partial 16S ribosomal RNA". It matches the Rfam family "Bacterial small subunit ribosomal RNA", at positions 524 to 776 of the family's 1533-position model. The record is from RNAcentral.
UACAGAGGUCUCAAUCGUUGUUCGGAUUCAUUGGGCGUAAAGGGUGCGUAGGCGGCGCGGUAAGUCGGGUGUGAAAUCUCGGAGCUUAACUCCGAAACUGCAUUCGAUACUGCCGUGCUUGAGGACUGGAGAGGAGACUGGAAUUUACGGUGUAGCGGUGAAAUGCGUAGAUAUCGUAAGGAAGACCAGUGGCGAAGGCGGGUCUCUGGACAGUUCCUGACGCUGAGGCACGAAGGUCAGGGGAGCAAACGGG